Molecule: ribosomal RNA, 399 nt
Filed under: uncultured bacterium
Lineage: Bacteria
Description: partial 16S ribosomal RNA
Rfam family: Bacterial small subunit ribosomal RNA
Source: RNAcentral
CCUACGGGAGGCAACAGUGAGGAAUAUUGGUCAAUGGGCGUAAGCCUGAACCAGCCAAGUCGCGUGAAGGAUGACUGCUCUAUGGAUCGUAAACUUCUUUUAUAAGGGAAUAAAGUGUGGCACGUGUCCUAUUUUGUAUGUACUUUAUGAAUAAGGAUCGGCUAACUCCGUGCCAGCAGCCGCGGUAAUACGGAGGAUCCGAGCGUUAUCCGGAUUUAUUGGGUUUAAAGGGUGCGUAGACGGCUUGUUAAGUCAGUGGUGAAAGUCUGUGGCUCAACCGUAAAAUUGCAAUUGAAACUGGGGGGCGUGAGUAUGUUUGAGGCAGGCGGAAUGCGUGGUGUAGCGGUGAAAUGCUUAGAUAUCACGAAGAACCCCGAUUGCGAAGGCAGCUUACCAAGC